Long non-coding RNA from Dioscorea cayenensis subsp. rotundata (Guinea yam), 373 nucleotides. RefSeq lists it as uncharacterized. The transcript is spliced from 3 exons. Lineage: Eukaryota; Viridiplantae; Streptophyta; Magnoliopsida; Dioscoreales; Dioscoreaceae. The record is from RefSeq and is a predicted model, not a curated record.
AAAAGAACAAAGGUUUAUGGCGGUGCCGGUGUUGGCGAAGCUUCGGGUUUCAAGAUUUUUUAUUCGUUAAUUUGAAGCUGGUAGUUUUGAAAUUCAUUUGAGAAUGAACAUUGCCCGAAUAAAUAUUUGGUGUUCUGUUCCGGGACUUUCUUUAAGAGAUCCCCACUCAAGACUUGCAAGAGCACGCCUUUCCUUGUCUCAGUCAUCUUGCUUGCGCCUAUGUGCUUAUUCACCCAGUAAAUCUCUUCUUUACAAGGCAUUCCCGAGGUUAGUUCAUACAGUGGCAAAACAUAGAAGAUAUACUAUGCAAGUAAUGCAUGGAGAAGGAUACUCAGACGGCGGACAUGAGGAGCAACCAAGGGAAGAUUUGUUU